This 506-nucleotide ribosomal RNA is filed under the name uncultured Pseudomonadota bacterium. Its description in RNAcentral is "bacterial SSU rRNA". It matches the Rfam family "Bacterial small subunit ribosomal RNA", at positions 9 to 505 of the family's 1533-position model. The record is from RNAcentral. Lineage: Bacteria; Pseudomonadati; Pseudomonadota.
GAGUUUGAUCCUGGCUCAGAUUGAACGCUGGCGGCAUGCCUUACACAUGCAAGUCGAACGGCAGCACGGGAAGGGGCAACCCUUUCUGGUGGCGAGUGGCGAACGGGUGAGUACAACAUCGGAACGUGUCCUCUUGUGGGGUAUUAACCAGUCGAAAGACUGGCUAAUACCGCAUGAGCCCGAGAGGGGAAAGCGGGGGAUUCGAAAGAACCUCGCGCGAGUGGAGCGGCCGAUGUCCCGAUUAGCUAGUUGGUGGGGUAAAAGGCCCACCAAGGCGACGAUCGGUAGCUGGUCUGGAGAGGAUGAUCAGCCACACCUGGGACUGGGACACGGCCAGAAUCCCUACGGAGGCAGCAGGGGGGAAUUUUGGAACAUGGGGGCAACCCUGAUCCAGCCAUGCCGCGUGUGUGAAGAAGGCCUCCGGUGUAAAGCACUUCGGCGGAACGAAUCGCAGGUGAAUAUCCGUGUGGAUGACGGUCCGGAAGAAGAAACACCGGCUAAUUACG